This 468-nucleotide ribosomal RNA is filed under the name uncultured bacterium. Its description in RNAcentral is "partial 16S ribosomal RNA". It matches the Rfam family "Bacterial small subunit ribosomal RNA", at positions 28 to 507 of the family's 1533-position model. The record is from RNAcentral.
GACGAACGCUGGCGGCGUGCUUAACACAUGCAAGUCGAACGGAAAGGCCCUGCUUUUGUGGGGUGCUCGAGUGGCGAACGGGUGAGUAACACGUGAGUAACCUGCCCUUGACUUUGGGAUAACUUCAGGAAACUGGGGCUAAUACCGGAUAGGAGCUCCUGCUGCAUGGUGGGGGUUGGAAAGUUUCGGCGGUUGGGGAUGGACUCGCGGCUUAUCAGCUUGUUGGUGGGGUAGUGGCUUACCAAGGCUUUGACGGGUAGGCGGCCUGAGAGGGUGACCGGCCACAUUGGGACUGAGAGACGGCCCAGACUCCUACGGGAGGCAGCAGUGGGGAAUAUUGCACAAUGGGCGGAAGCCGGAUGCAGCGACGCCGCGUGCGGGAUGACGGCCUUCGGGUUGUAAACAGCUGUCGCCUGUGACGAAGCGUGAGUGACGGUAAUGGGUAAAGAAGCACCGGCUAACUACGUG